This is a transfer RNA of Camelus ferus (Wild Bactrian camel), 72 nucleotides long. It matches the Rfam family "tRNA". From Rfam's summary of the family: Transfer RNA (tRNA) molecules are approximately 80 nucleotides in length. Their secondary structure includes four short double-helical elements and three loops (D, anti-codon, and T loops). Further hydrogen bonds mediate the characteristic L-shaped molecular structure. tRNAs have two regions of fundamental functional importance: the anti-codon, which is responsible for specific mRNA codon recognition, and the 3' end, to which the tRNAs corresponding amino acid is attached (by aminoacyl-tRNA synthetases). tRNAs cope with the degeneracy of the genetic code in two manners: having more than one tRNA (with a specific anti-codon) for a particular amino acid; and 'wobble' base-pairing, i.e. permitting non-standard base-pairing at the 3rd anti-codon position. The record is from Rfam. NCBI's taxonomy places the organism in Eukaryota, Metazoa, Chordata, Mammalia, Artiodactyla, Camelidae.
GGAGGAGUCGCUCAGUGGUAGAGCUCAUGCUUAGCAUGCAUGAAGUCCUGGGUUCAAUCCCCAGUGCCUCCA